Triticum aestivum (bread wheat) is the source of this 1831-nucleotide RNA transcript. RefSeq lists it as uncharacterized. The transcript is spliced from 4 exons. The record is from RefSeq and is a predicted model, not a curated record. Lineage: Eukaryota; Viridiplantae; Streptophyta; Magnoliopsida; Poales; Poaceae.
GAAGUGGAGCAACACUAGCUAGUUCGGCGUUUUCAAACAGAGAAGAAACGCCACGGUUUGUGGCGUUAUCAAAAGGGUCAGAUUGUAAAAUAGUUUUGUGUGAAGUUCAUUUCGUGCGAAAGUUUCCUAAAAAGGUCAAAAUAGUGAAAAAGGCCGAAAGUGUACGGGUGGUCCCUUACAUCUUACAAGUUAUAAGUGGUCAGAUUAAGCAAAGAUAUAUUUAACAUGCGCGCUAGUGUAUGAAAUGCAUUUACUAGUUUAUGAACUUAUCUAAUUAACUCCGCUCUGAAGUGAACUGGCCACUGCCACCUGCAUUAAGAAUAGGUCUUUUAUCACCCAGAAACUCUAUAGAAAAAUCUAAAUUUUUGGCGCCAUCUUAGCACUAUGUUUUUUCUGUUCAUCAGUAAUUAAAUGGUUUCCUUUCCAUUUUCUUUUCAUGGUCUUGUUUUAAUAUCUUUAUGGAUGCUCCUGGUUGAUCACUUUAUUUAUUGUUCCUUGUUUACCAUGUCAUGACCUUUUUUACAGAGUUUAUUAAAUGGAGCAAGUAUUCCAAGUUGUUUCUGAGAAGGUCUCUAGCUCUGUUGUGAUUGUUCGACAGCAUCCAUAUGGUCGAUAUUGUGUUGGUUCUGUAGUUUCCCCUCCAUCAAAUACCAAUACAACAGCAAUAAUGACAUCCUCGCGUUUGAGUGAAGAAAGCGGUAGAAUCUUUGUUCACUUCAAUGACAACACUGAACUGGAAGCAAGGAGAUUAGUGUCUGCAGAUCGAUUCACUUUGCUAGAAGUUGACUACAAAGCUGGUUGCAGUAUGAUUGAAUUUAGUAAAAUAGAUGUUAAUCAACCCUCAGAUGCUUUUAUUCUCGCUCCUAACUCGAAAUCCUGUUUAUCACAUAUCCCAGCAUUUGUGGUACAGCCUUCCUGUGCUGCAAGGGAUGCCAAAAUGAAUAACAUCGAAGGAUCUGAGAAUUACUUUUUGGUCUUAUGUCGCUCUGGGAACUUGCUUAACGUAGGAUAUGCUAUUCAGAACCAGUUAAUGUCUGCUCCGGUUUUUGAUUUAAACGGCAAAGUUAUUGGGCUAGUGACUUCUCAGUGUGGCACGGAUAAGACCAAAAAUGAUAUCAAGAUUGGACUUUUAGCCUCUCAUGCUCAGAAGAUUCGUGAUGACCUACUAGAGGAAAGCAAGAAAGAAAUGAAGGUAGCUGAGCGCUCUGAGGAAAGCAAGCAGCAUGAAGAAGGAGCUGAGACUAACAGCUCCGCGGGUACAAGAAAAAAGAAAAGGAGACUCAUGAAGGGAGGAAAGCCAGUAUGCUGAUGUACGCUUGCCUUGGCGUAUUCCGUAGUAAGUGUGGUCCCUUCAUUGAAGCUGAAGCAUGAACAGAAGAAACUGAUGGUGAGGGUUUAGAUAGUUGGCACGCUAACGGCACUGGGCUGAUAUUUCCGUUUUAUCACUUCAUGCAAAUCUGGCAGCGAUGGAUGACUGUACCAGCUUCCAAGGGUGCUGGGACGAAGGCAUAGCCUCUUUUUGUUGGUUGACAAGCGUGUCUUGACACUCUUUUUUGUAUUACCAUCUUAUUCAAUUCUGAUAGCGAGCAAGGGCCGUUCAAACUUCCAGGUGUGCUGGGACACACGCAUAGGUUUUUUGUUGUGGUGGGCAAGCGUGUCUUGUCCUGACAGUGGCACCUUGGAGUCUUGUUAGCAAUGGUGGUCCAUUUUGGGAAUCAUGGUGAACCGCUAAUGUCGGAUUCUUGUAGGGAGAUGGCAGAUUUGCUAAUUGGGUUUGUAACUUCUGGGAAUAGCUGUUGCUAAACAUUAAUUUAAAAACAGGUUGCAUGCA